GAUGAAGAACGUAGCUAAAUGCGAUACGUAAUGUGAAUUGCAGAAUUCAGUGAAUCAUCGAAUCUUUGAACGCAUAUUGCGCUCUCUGGUAUUCCGGAGAGCAUGCUUGUUUGAGUAUCAGUAAACACCUCAACUCCCUUUUCUUUUUUGAAAUUGGAGCUGGACUUGAGUGAUCCCAACGCUUUCUUCCAAGAAAGUGGCGGGUUGCUUGAAAUGCAGGUGCAGCUGAACUUUUCUCUGAGCUAUAAGCAUAUCUAUUUAGUCUGCCUAAAAAACAGAUUAUUACCUUUGCUGCAGCUAACAUAAAGGAGACUAGUUCUUGUGCUGACUGAUGCAGGAUUCACAGAGACAGCUUCGGCUGACUUUGUAAACUCGAUCUCAAAUCAAGUAAGACUACCCGCUGAACUUAAGCAUAUCAAUAAGCGGAGGA
This 430-nucleotide unclassified non-coding RNA is filed under the name soil metagenome. RNAcentral describes it as "partial contains 5.8S ribosomal RNA, internal transcribed spacer 2, and large subunit ribosomal RNA". The stretch from base 1 to 120 matches the Rfam family "5.8S ribosomal RNA", at positions 35 to 154 of the family's 154-position model. The record is from RNAcentral.